Molecule: small nuclear RNA, 243 nt
Filed under: Stegodyphus mimosarum
Lineage: Eukaryota; Metazoa; Arthropoda; Arachnida; Araneae; Eresidae
Description: U2 spliceosomal RNA
Source: RNAcentral
AUCGCUUCUCGGCCUUUUGGCUAACAUCAAAGUGUAGUAGAUGCGCUGCUUAGUCGGUGGACUAGUUUCUUUUGUCGUACUGACAGUUUCAUAGUACCGGCUAAGCGCAUGAGCCCAUUGGCCGAGUUGCCAAUAUUCUUACUAAUUUUUGUUUUUAUGUUGUAAUUUUGUUAGUUAUAGGUGUACUGGUGGAUAAGAUUGUCGUUUUUGCCGAGGCCCUGCCCACCGCCAAGACCACGCCCA